This 400-nucleotide ribosomal RNA is filed under the name uncultured bacterium. RNAcentral describes it as "bacterial SSU rRNA". It matches the Rfam family "Bacterial small subunit ribosomal RNA", at positions 355 to 752 of the family's 1533-position model. The record is from RNAcentral.
UAAGGAAUAUUGGUCAAUGGAGGCAACUCUGAACCAGCCAUGCCGCGUGCAGGAUGACGGCCCUAUGGGUUGUAAACUGCUUUUGUACCAGAGAAAACCUACUCACGUGUGAGUAGCUGAUAGUAUGGUAAGAAUAAGCAUCGGCUAACUUCGUGCCAGCAGCCGCGGUAAGACGAAGGAUGCAAGCGUUAUCCGGAUUCAUUGGGUUUAAAGGGUGCGUAGGCGGACUUGUAAGUCAGUGGUGAAAUCUCUUCGCUUAACGAAGAAACUGCCAUUGAUACUGCAGGUCUAGAGUAUAGAUGACGUUGGCGGAAUAUGACAUGUAGUGGUGAAAUACUUAGAUAUGUCAUAGAACACCGAUUGCGAAGGCAGCUAACGAAACUAUAACUGACGCUGAGGC